GACGACCACCAUCUAAGUGAGCAGCGGAGACGACGAUGAAGGGCUAGACCACCGGCGACCACCAUCGGAGAGAGCAGUGGCGGUGAAGCCGAAGGGCGAUGUCGACGAAGGAGCAUAGUAGCGGCGACGUUGAUCAGCGAAGCAGCGUAGGCAGACCAGAGAAGCUUCGACACGAAGAGCUUGACCAGCGACGGUGACGACGUUGAGGAAAAAGGAGCAGCGGCGGCGUUUUCUUGCGGUACGGUCUUCUCCGUUUUUUUUUUCAUUGACUUUCUCGAACAAUCCAUUUCGAAAUGGGUUCGGAUCAGAAAGUGCAUGUCUUUGAGGAAGUCGCCCAGCACAACAAGACUAAGGAUUGCUGGAUAAUCAUGGAUGGAAAGGUUAGAUCUUUAUUCAUCCCUUUUGGUUUUUUCUCAUGUGUAAUUGCGCCUGAAGAUGAAUCAGGGAUGAUUCACAAGUUUUUGAGGUUUUUAGACAGAUUUCAGAUGGAAUUUUGAGUAUUUUUCCCAAUUACAAAAAAGAUGGGCAUUCUUUAUGUUCUGUGGCUGUAAAGUUUUGAUGUUUUUCAUUGGAUUCUUACUUUGUUUACUAAUGAUUGUUGCCUUGUUGAGCU
This is a long non-coding RNA of Ipomoea nil (Japanese morning glory), 613 nucleotides long. RefSeq lists it as uncharacterized. The record is from RefSeq and is a predicted model, not a curated record. NCBI's taxonomy places the organism in Eukaryota, Viridiplantae, Streptophyta, Magnoliopsida, Solanales, Convolvulaceae. The transcript is spliced from 2 exons.